GACGAACGCUGGCGGCGUGCCUAAUACAUGCAAGUAGAACGCUGAAGAGAGGAGCUUGCUCUUCUUGGAUGAGUUGCGAACGGGUGAGUAACGCGUAGAUAACCUGCCUGGUAGCGGGGGAUAACUAUUGGAAACGAUAGCUAAUACCGCAUGAUAUUAAUUGUCGCAUGAUAAUUAAUUGAAAGAUGCAAUUGCAUCACUACCAGAUGGACCUGCGUUGUAUUAGCUAGUUGGUGAGGUAACGGCUCACCAAGGCGACGAUACAUAGCCGACCUGAGAGGGUGAUCGGCCACACUGGGACUGAGACACGGCCCAGACUCCUACGGGAGGCAGCAGUAGGGAAUCUUCGGCAAUGGGGGGAACCCUGACCGAGCAACGCCGCGUGAGUGAAGAAGGUUUUCGGAUCGUAAAGCUCUGUUGUAAGAGAAGAACGGGUGUGAGAGUGGAAAGUUCACACUGUGACGGUAUCUUACCAGAAAGG
RNAcentral lists this ribosomal RNA (481 nucleotides) under Streptococcus sanguinis. RNAcentral describes it as "bacterial SSU rRNA". It matches the Rfam family "Bacterial small subunit ribosomal RNA", at positions 28 to 491 of the family's 1533-position model. The record is from RNAcentral. Lineage: Bacteria; Bacillati; Bacillota; Bacilli; Lactobacillales; Streptococcaceae.